RNAcentral lists this ribosomal RNA (119 nucleotides) under Triticum aestivum (bread wheat). RNAcentral also lists the same sequence under 1 other name. The record is from RNAcentral. Lineage: Eukaryota; Viridiplantae; Streptophyta; Magnoliopsida; Poales; Poaceae.
GGAUGCGAUCAUACCAGCACUAAAGCACCGGAUCCCAUCAGAACUCUGAAGUUAAGCGUGCUUGGGCGAGAGUAGUACUAGGAUGGGUGACCUCCUGUGAAGUCCUCGUGUUGCAUUCC